CUACGGGUUGCAGCAGUGAGGAAUAUUGCACAAUGGGGGGAACCCUGAUGCAGCAACGCCGCGUGGAGGAUGACGCAUUUCGGUGUGUAAACUCCUUUUAUAUGUCAAGAAAAUGACGGUAGCAUAUGAAUAAGCACCGGCUAACUCCGUGCCAGCAGCCGCGGUAAUACGGAGGGUGCAAGCGUUACUCGGAAUCACUGGGCGUAAAGGACGCGUAGGCGGGUUGGAAAGUCAGGUGUGAAAUCCUACAGCUUAACUGUAGAACUGCAUUUGAAACUUCUAAUCUAGAGUAUGGGAGGGGGAGAUGGAAUUAGUGGUGUAGGGGUAAAAUCCGUAGAUAUCACUAGGAAUACCUAAAGCGAAGGCGAUCUCCUGGAACAUUACUGACGCUAAGGCGUGAAAGCGUGGGGAGCAAACAGGAUUAGAUACCCUCGAAGUC
This 439-nucleotide ribosomal RNA is filed under the name uncultured bacterium. Its description in RNAcentral is "partial 16S ribosomal RNA". It matches the Rfam family "Bacterial small subunit ribosomal RNA", at positions 339 to 795 of the family's 1533-position model. The record is from RNAcentral.